RNAcentral lists this ribosomal RNA (253 nucleotides) under uncultured bacterium. RNAcentral's name for it is "partial 16S ribosomal RNA". It matches the Rfam family "Bacterial small subunit ribosomal RNA", at positions 524 to 776 of the family's 1533-position model. The record is from RNAcentral.
UACGUAGGGCGCAAGCGUUGUCCGGAAUUAUUGGGCGUAAAGAGCUCGUAGGCGGCUUGUCGCGUCGACUGUGAAAUCCCGCGGCUCAACUGCGGGUCUGCAGUCGAUACGGGCAGGCUAGAGUUCGGUAGGGGAGACUGGAAUUCCUGGUGUAGCGGUGAAAUGCGCAGAUAUCAGGAGGAACACCGAUGGCGAAGGCAGGUCUCUGGGCCGAUACUGACGCUGAGGAGCGAAAGCGUGGGGAGCGAGCAGG